GAUGAACGCUGGCGGCGUGCCUAAUACAUGCAAGUCGAGCGAACAGACGAGGAGCUUGCUCCUCUGACGUUAGCGGCGGACGGGUGAGUAACACGUGGAUAACCUACCUAUAAGACUGGGAUAACUUCGGGAAACCGGAGCUAAUACCGGAUAAUAUAUUGAACCGCAUGGUUCAAUAGUGAAAGACGGUUUUGCUGUCACUUAUAGAUGGAUCCGCGCCGCAUUAGCUAGUUGGUAAGGUAACGGCUUACCAAGGCGACGAUGCGUAGCCGACCUGAGAGGGUGGUCGGCCACACUGGAACUGGGACACGGUCCAGACUCCUACGGGAGGCAGCAGUAGGGAAUCUUCCGCAAUGGGCGAAAGCCUGACGGAGCAACGCCGCGUGAGUGAUGAAGGUCUUCGGAUCGUAAAACUCUGUUAUUAGGGAAGAACAAAUGUGUAAGUAACUAUGCACGUCUUGACGGUACCUAAUCAGAAAGCCACGGCUAACUACGUG
RNAcentral lists this ribosomal RNA (497 nucleotides) under uncultured bacterium. RNAcentral describes it as "partial 16S ribosomal RNA". It matches the Rfam family "Bacterial small subunit ribosomal RNA", at positions 28 to 507 of the family's 1533-position model. The record is from RNAcentral.